Long non-coding RNA from Hypanus sabinus (Atlantic stingray), 570 nucleotides. RefSeq lists it as uncharacterized. The record is from RefSeq and is a predicted model, not a curated record. The transcript has 3 exons. Lineage: Eukaryota; Metazoa; Chordata; Chondrichthyes; Myliobatiformes; Dasyatidae.
AGGUUAUCUACCAAGCAAAAUGUUGAGAGACUGUUUGAGAACGAAGUGAACCAAUGUAAUUUACUAUGCAUAUAUCUGAUUCCUGGUAUUUAAAGUUGAUCAGGAAGUGAGUGGAGAGCCUCUCUGCAGCUGGGAGAUAUCGACGUAACAAAGGCAAAGGCAGUGCUGAAUUUAAUGAUUGAAUCUCAACAUAAAUGAUUUUGUGGACACAUUCAGAAGCAUCUCGAACCUUGGAACCUGGAAGCCAAACUACCGUCCGUGGUUCAUUUUUUGCAUCCUCAGAAUUGCCCAUCUGUACCUCUAACUAUAGAGUUCCCCUAUUACAGCUGCCAUCUUCUUUAAUUCCCUACCCUUCUGAACCACAGGGCCAGACUCAGUUCCAAAGGCACAGCUGCUUUUGCUUCCCCCAAGUAGGGGGAAAAUGGAGAACUUAUUGUUGAGGGGGAUGUAGUGGGGUACUCCCCACUAUCUGAUGUUCUCCCUUCCCUCUCCUGACAGUUAGCUAUUUGUCUGUCUUCUCUAACCUUUAGGGGGAUUAGUUUCCUGUAGCUCCUGUCCAUCACCUCUUCA